UUGCUUCUCUUGAGAGCGGCGGACGGGUGAGUAAUGCCUAGGAAUCUGCCUGGUAGUGGGGGAUAACGUCCGGAAACGGACGCUAAUACCGCAUACGUCCUACGGGAGAAAGCAGGGGACCUUCGGGCCUUGCGCUAUCAGAUGAGCCUAGGUCGGAUUAGCUAGUUGGUGGGGUAAUGGCUCACCAAGGCGACGAUCCGUAACUGGUCUGAGAGGAUGAUCAGUCACACUGGAACUGAGACACGGUCCAGACUCCUACGGGAGGCAGCAGUGGGGAAUAUUGGACAAUGGGCGAAAGCCUGAUCCAGCCAUGCCGCGUGUGUGAAGAAGGUCUUCGGAUUGUAAAGCACUUUAAGUUGGGAGGAAGGGCAGUAAAUUAAUACUUUGCUGUUUUGACGUUACCGACAGAAUAAGCACCGGCUAACUCUGUGCCAGCAGCCGCGGUAAUACAGAGGGUGCAAGCGUUAAUCGGAAUUACUGGGCGUAAAGCGCGCGUAGGUGGUUCGUUAAGUUGGAUGUGAAAUCCCCGGGCUCAACCUGGGAACUGCAUUCAAAACUGACGAGCUAGAGUAUGGUAGAGGGUGGUGGAAUUUCCUGUGUAGCGGUGAAAUGCGUAGAUAUAGGAAGGAACACCAGUGGCGAAAGCGACCACCUGGACUGAUACUGACACUGAGGUGCGAAAGCGUGGGGAGCAAAC
This 697-nucleotide ribosomal RNA is filed under the name uncultured bacterium. RNAcentral describes it as "bacterial SSU rRNA". It matches the Rfam family "Bacterial small subunit ribosomal RNA", at positions 80 to 773 of the family's 1533-position model. The record is from RNAcentral.